Pygocentrus nattereri (red-bellied piranha) is the source of this 839-nucleotide long non-coding RNA. RefSeq lists it as uncharacterized. Lineage: Eukaryota; Metazoa; Chordata; Actinopteri; Characiformes; Serrasalmidae. The transcript is spliced from 2 exons. The record is from RefSeq and is a predicted model, not a curated record.
CUUUCGGCUUCUGUAACUGGUAUCAUAGUCUGAGUUCUCGGAGGAAUCUGAGAGAAGGGAGAGGCGAGAGUAGCGAAGAAAAUAGAACAGAAGAGGAAAAGGAUAAAGGUCUUGUGUCAUGUGUGUCUUCUAUCACUCACGGGCACUGGAGCGCGGGACGAUGGUGAGGCGAAGUGUGUUUCCGGCUCUGCGCAGUAUCUGUGCCAACUCCCUGUGGGGCAGUGUGACCACACUGCGUCCCUCCACAGCCUCCAGCCGGUCCCCUGGACGAAUCUGCCCGCUCCGCGCAGCAGGACUGCCCCGACGUACCGUCACAAAACGAUGGGGCAGCAGAGACACCGCUGGACAUAAAGAGAGACAGAAAUAUAUUGCUGGUUUAGUACAAGCUGAAUUUCUACAACUUUGGCCCUAUUUUACAUGAUAAAAUAAUGUCAAUGACACCAACUGACCUACCCAUGCUCAGAAAUGUACUGUAAACAUAGGAACAAAUCUCAUUCAAUCUAAUCAGAAACUAGUACACAACAAAAUAACUGACUAUGCAGUUCAAACUGUUAGAAUACAUUGCAUGUAGUAGCUUUGUCAUGUAAUUAAGUUAGCAAUCAUUAGCAUUAGUUAUCUAAUCUUAAUUAGUUACAACAGGGGUCUUUAAUUAAAAUUCAAUAAGGUCCAGUCAAAGACAAUUUCCUCAAGCAAAGGUCCGAAACAUCAUAAUGUCUAACUUGCAUUAUGAUUCAGUUACAUGUACUGGAUACUGAAGUAGUAGUUAUAUGAACAUCUUAUGUAGUCAACAACUGAAUGUCGAAUCAAAUAAAGUACAUUUCAGUCAUAUUUCAACAAUA